ACCGAGGAAAGCUGAAAAUCGGAUAAAAGAGUAGGCG
RNAcentral lists this non-coding RNA (37 nucleotides) under unclassified sequences. Its description in RNAcentral is "DUF805b RNA". It matches the Rfam family "DUF805b RNA". From Rfam's summary of the family: Bacteroidetes, Chlorobi (1 example), Proteobacteria. Lineage (Flavobacteria) The record is from RNAcentral.